RNAcentral lists this ribosomal RNA (253 nucleotides) under uncultured Vampirovibrio sp. Its description in RNAcentral is "partial 16S ribosomal RNA". It matches the Rfam family "Bacterial small subunit ribosomal RNA", at positions 524 to 776 of the family's 1533-position model. Lineage: Bacteria; Bacillati; Candidatus Melainabacteria; Vampirovibriophyceae; Vampirovibrionales; Vampirovibrionaceae. The record is from RNAcentral.
GACGUAGGAUGCAAGCGUUGUCCGGAUUCAUUGGGCGUAAAGAGUUCGUAGGUGGCAUAGCAAGUCUGGUGUUAAAGCCCGGAGCUCAACUCCGGUUCGGCACUGGAUACUGCUAAGCUAGAGUACAGAAGAGGCAAGGGGAAUUCCCAGUGUAGCGGUGAAAUGCGUAGAUAUUGGGAGGAACACCGGUGGCGAAAGCGCCUUGCUGGGCUGUUACUGACGCUGAGGAACGAAAGCCAGGGGAGCAAAUGGG